RNAcentral lists this transfer RNA (87 nucleotides) under Candidatus Magasanikiibacteriota bacterium. RNAcentral describes it as "tRNA-Ser". It matches the Rfam family "tRNA". From Rfam's summary of the family: Transfer RNA (tRNA) molecules are approximately 80 nucleotides in length. Lineage: Bacteria; Candidatus Magasanikiibacteriota. The record is from RNAcentral.
GGAGAGGUGGUUGAGUGGUUGAAAACAGCAGUUUACUAAACUGCCGGAUCCGUAAGGGUCUCGCGAGUUCGAAUCUCGCCCUCUCCG